AAGUGGCCGUUAGAUAUUCAUCUGUCCACAGUUAGACAAACUGUCUAUAAAUGGAGAUGAUUUAGUACUAUAGGUACUCUCUCUAGAAGUGGCCGUUAGAUAUUCAUCUGUCCACAGUUAGACAAACUGUCUAUAAAUGGAGGUGAUUUAGUACUAUAGGUACUCUCUCUAGAAGUGGCCGUUAGAUAUUCAUCUGUCCACAGUGAGACAAACUGUCUAUAAAUGGAGAUGAUUUAGUACUAUAGGUACUCUCUCUAGAAGUGGCCGUUAGAUAUUCAUCUGUCCACAUUUAGACAAACUGUCUAUAAAUGGAGAUGAUUUAGUACUAUAGGUACUCUCACUAGAAGUGGCCGUUAGAUAUUCAUCU
Xyrauchen texanus (razorback sucker) is the source of this 367-nucleotide long non-coding RNA. RefSeq lists it as uncharacterized. Lineage: Eukaryota; Metazoa; Chordata; Actinopteri; Cypriniformes; Catostomidae. The record is from RefSeq and is a predicted model, not a curated record. The transcript is spliced from 3 exons.